CCUACGGGAGGCAGCAGUAAGGAAUAUUGGUCAAUGGACGCAAGUCUGAACCAGCCAUGCCGCGUGAAGGAUGAAGGCCCUCUGGGUUGUAAACUUCUUUUAUAGGGGAAGAAACCCAUCUUUUCUAAGGUGGUUGACGGUACCCUAGGAAUAAGCACCGGCUAACUCCGUGCCAGCAGCCGCGGUAAUACGGAGGGUGCAAGCGUUAUCCGGAUUCACUGGGUUUAAAGGGUGCGUAGGUGGGUCUGUAAGUCAGUGGUGAAAUCUCCGAGCUUAACUCGGAAACUGCCAUUGAUACUAUAGAUCUUGAAUUUUCUGGAGGUUAGCGGAAUAUGUCAUGUAGCGGUGAAAUGCUUAGAUAUGACAUAGAACACCAAUUGCGAAGGCAGCUGGCUACAGGAAUAUUGACACUGAGGCACGAAAGCGUGGGGAUCAAACAGGAUUAGAUACCCUGGUAGUCCACGCCCUAAACGAUGGAUACUCGACAUUUGUGAUACACAAUAAGUGUCUGAGCGAAAGCAUUAAGUAUCCCACCUGGGAAGUACGACCGCAAGGUUGAAACUCAAAGAUAGUGGAGCUGACGAG
Molecule: ribosomal RNA, 585 nt
Filed under: uncultured bacterium
Lineage: Bacteria
Description: bacterial SSU rRNA
Rfam family: Bacterial small subunit ribosomal RNA
Source: RNAcentral